Polyodon spathula (Mississippi paddlefish) is the source of this 294-nucleotide long non-coding RNA. RefSeq lists it as uncharacterized. Lineage: Eukaryota; Metazoa; Chordata; Actinopteri; Acipenseriformes; Polyodontidae. The transcript is spliced from 2 exons. The record is from RefSeq and is a predicted model, not a curated record.
GCUUUGGGAUUGGACAGAAUGCCUGUCGAAGGCUGGUGCUUGGGCUCGCCUCUGUGUCCAAAGGUACUGCUGAAUUUCUGGCUGAAGGAGAACGACUUCAACCGAAGAUGAUUAAAUCCCUGAAGAAAGCGAUGGCCCCUGUUCUAAGCGAUGUCACCAUUGACUGGUUGUUUCCGGCAACAAAGGAAGUUCUGCUCUCUCCAGUGGGUGCCAGCUAUCUGUUUCCAGGGGACCGUCUGAUUGGCUACAGUGUUGUGUAUGACACGUCACGCUAUCAUCCCAACCCUAAGUCUG